GACGAACGCUGGCGGCAUGCUUAACACAUGCAAGUCGAACGGGAUUUAGUAAACAGAAGCCUCGGUGGAAGAUUACUAAUGAGAGUGGCGAACGGGUGAGUAACGCGUGAGCAACCUGCCUAUGACAGUGGGAUAGCCUCGGGAAACCGGGAUUAAUACCGCAUAAAAUCGUAGAAACACAUGUUUUAACGGUCAAAGAUUUAUCGGUCAUAGAUGGGCUCGCGUCUGAUUAGCUAGUUGGUGAGAUAACGGCUCACCAAGCCGACGAUCCAUAGCUGGUUUGAGAGGAUGAUCAGCCACACUGGGACUGAGACACGGCCCAG
RNAcentral lists this ribosomal RNA (323 nucleotides) under uncultured bacterium. RNAcentral describes it as "bacterial SSU rRNA". It matches the Rfam family "Bacterial small subunit ribosomal RNA", at positions 28 to 334 of the family's 1533-position model. The record is from RNAcentral.